GGAGGGCAGCAAGGAUGAUGGGAGACCCGGAGGAUGCCUAAGGUCGAGAAGGAUGCUAGAGGAGGCUGGAGCUCUCGGGGAAGAAGGGAUCGAAGGACUCUCUCAGGCUGGGUGAAACCCCAAAGGGGGAAGACGUGUUUAAAUAGGCAACAGGACCUGGAGCAGUUAUGAUCGUGGAUCUCCUCUGAUCGGCCUGUACCUGCCGCAUGUCCCACUCACUUUGACAGGCUGUUGAAAAUGGCUAGUAGCUGACAAAAUAAUUAUUGCACC
Molecule: long non-coding RNA, 270 nt
Filed under: Elaeis guineensis (African oil palm)
Lineage: Eukaryota; Viridiplantae; Streptophyta; Magnoliopsida; Arecales; Arecaceae
Description: long non-coding RNA (EGUI_LNC057171)
Source: RNAcentral